AUUUUAGUUCCUUUUUCUUUUUACCCAAACCCAUCCUCAAUUUUCUCCUCCAAACUUGAAAAAAAAGUAUAAAGCUGAAUACGAAUUUUAGGAUUAUACAAAGCACUUUCUUAUGAGAAUUAUAUAGCUAAAAAAACUAGUUUUCCAAACAUGAUACAGUAGUCUUUGUUUAUUCGGUUACCACACAGUCAAAAGAUAACAUGACUUUUAGAUGAACAUGAACUCAGAUUCAAGUGGACACAACAAGAUAUUUGGUAUGAGGAAUUAAGAGAGUUGAAACAACAUAUCCUUCUGGUGGUUUCUGAAAAGGGAAGUAAAUUAUCAAGAGAGAACAUACGUGACGUGAUAGAUGAUGGUUUGAAGGAGAUUGAUGGACCCAUUUCAUUUGGCUUCAAAGAAAGAAAUUUUACAUAAGAAACACAAAACUUAUGAAGCUGCUUCUGCCUUCUACCGAAGAAGACCUAUCAAAGAGGAAUUAAAGACGAGUUUCAUUGUUUGUUGUCUCUAAAUUAAAGCUAGGACCACCUUACACCGACCUACAUUCGGAGUAGGUUUGUCAUUGGGACGGAGUGGGACUAUGUUUGUUGUCCUCAUCUCUGAAGUGCAUUCGGAAUGAACUUUGUUCCUCGUCCCGUCUCUACUGGAAAAAUUUUCAUUUCUUCAAACUUCUAAACUGCAAAA
Long non-coding RNA from Lathyrus oleraceus (garden pea), 681 nucleotides. RefSeq lists it as uncharacterized. The record is from RefSeq and is a predicted model, not a curated record. NCBI's taxonomy places the organism in Eukaryota, Viridiplantae, Streptophyta, Magnoliopsida, Fabales, Fabaceae. The transcript has 3 exons.